RNAcentral lists this ribosomal RNA (492 nucleotides) under uncultured bacterium. Its description in RNAcentral is "partial 16S ribosomal RNA". It matches the Rfam family "Bacterial small subunit ribosomal RNA", at positions 28 to 507 of the family's 1533-position model. The record is from RNAcentral.
GAUGAACGCUAGCUACAGGCUUAACACAUGCAAGUCGAGGGGAAACGACAUCGAAAGCUUGCUUUUGAUGGGCGUCGACCGGCGCACGGGUGAGUAACGCGUAUCCAACCUGCCCAUCACUUGGGAAUAACCUUGCGAAAGUAAGACUAAUACCCAAUGAUAUCCCACGAAGGCAUCGGAAUGGGAUUAAAGAUUUAUCGGUGAUGGAUGGGGAUGCGUCUGAUUAGCUUGUUGGCGGGGUAACGGCCCACCAAGGCAACGAUCAGUAGGGGUUCUGAGGGGAAGGUCCCCCACAUUGGAACUGCGACACGGUCCCAUCUCCUACGGGAGGCAGCAGUGAGGAAUAUUGGUCAAUGGGCGAGAGCCCGAACCAGCCAAGUAGCGUGCAGGAAGACGGCCCUAUGGGUGGUAAACUGCUUUUAUAAGGGAAUAAAGUGGUUCACGUGUGACUUUUUGCAUGUACCUUAUGAAUAAGGACCGGCUAAUUCCGUG